This 92-nucleotide transfer RNA is filed under the name Clostridia bacterium. RNAcentral's name for it is "tRNA-Ser". It matches the Rfam family "tRNA". Rfam says of the family: Transfer RNA (tRNA) molecules are approximately 80 nucleotides in length. Their secondary structure includes four short double-helical elements and three loops (D, anti-codon, and T loops). The record is from RNAcentral. Lineage: Bacteria; Bacillati; Bacillota; Clostridia.
GGAGAGAUGGCUGAGCUGGUCGAAGGCGCACGACUGGAAAUCGUGUAACGGCUAAUACCCGUUCAAGGGUUCGAAUCCCUUUCUCUCCGCCA